Molecule: unclassified non-coding RNA, 263 nt
Filed under: Chytridiomycota sp.
Lineage: Eukaryota; Fungi; Chytridiomycota
Description: partial contains small subunit ribosomal RNA, internal transcribed spacer 1, and 5.8S ribosomal RNA
Rfam family: Eukaryotic small subunit ribosomal RNA (bases 1-47)
Source: RNAcentral
AAAGUCGUAACAAGGUAACCGUAGGUGAACCUGCGGUUGGAUCAUUAAUAAAUUUUAGAGCAGUAGGGGGUCGAGGCUCUUGAGUCUAGGCUUCUCGCCUGUUUCUUAACAUUUUGUGAAUCGUUUAUUGUCUCUUGCGGUUGGAGGCUCUUACGAGAGUCAACUCCGCAUGUGAAUCUUAACAUUGUAAUAUAACCAUCAGUCUCAAAACUUAAACCUAAAAAAUUUAAAAACAACUUUUGACAACGGAUCUCUAGGCUCUC